This 1291-nucleotide ribosomal RNA is filed under the name Niphargus sp. NC711. RNAcentral's name for it is "partial large subunit ribosomal RNA". It matches the Rfam family "Eukaryotic large subunit ribosomal RNA", at positions 1330 to 2212 of the family's 3401-position model. Lineage: Eukaryota; Metazoa; Arthropoda; Malacostraca; Amphipoda; Niphargidae. The record is from RNAcentral.
AAAGCUCUCUCCCGAUGCACAACCGUCGGUGGCAGUAAAGGCUUCAGUACGACCCAGUCAGAACUAUAAGUCUCAAAGCCCCGACGAGUAGGGUGGCGUGCCGGUGAGCGUUGAAGGCCAAGACGUGAGUCAGGCUGGAGCCGCCGGUAGUGCAGAUCUUGGUGGUAGUAGCAAGUACUCUGGUGAACCAACCUGGAGCUGUGAGGUCUGGAUCAGGGUUCCAUGUCAACAGUGAUUGAACAUGGGUGAGUCGAUCCUAAGCCAACUGUGAAAGCAGUGACAUCCCGACAAAGGGGCAGUUCGUCUGGCGGCCACACGCGUUUGUGUGCACAUUCGCAAGUCUCCUCUCUCUAUAUAUGGUCGCGCGCGCAUGCAAACACCCGGUGCGCGUGUGUUUUGUCUGGUUACGCUCAAAAAGCGUUAUAUGGUUGGAGAGAGAGAAAACGAGGCAGUGCCGCGCGUGUGUGUGUGUGCGUUCGUUCUCAAAGUUCCCUGCGUCUGGUUCUAUGUCUGGCGAAAGGGAAUGGGGACUUUGUUCCUUGACCGGUCCCGGCACCCUCGAUAGGCUUUGCCAAUCAAUGGUCCAUGCAAAUGGAACCAGGCCACAGCCGCCGGCAGUCGCCCGAGGAAGAGUUUUCUUUUCUGCUUAACGCACGAGAUCAUCCCUGGAAACAGUUCGGCUGGCGAAAGGGUGCCCCGUUGCGGCAGAGCGCCACGACUGUCGUGCGCGUCUCGGUGUUCCUGCCGGUCCGUGAAGACGUGGUCGAGGGGAUUGCUAUUGUAUCAACGAAACGCCCGACAAGUUCGGGACGGACCGUACCCUAUAUCCGCAUCUGGUCUCCAAGGUUCGUAGCCUCUGCAGAGUCAGACACAUGUAGGUAAGGGAAGUCGGCAAACUCGAUCCGUAACUUCGGGAAAAGGAUUGGCUCUGAGGGCCGAGCUGGGCCGGGCCUUGCCUGCAAAGCAGUACCUAUAGUGACCGGAGUUUCAGGAGUGCGAGGGGCUCUAGUAGCUUCCUGCGCGUUCACGCGUGUGGGCACGAACGAGUCUACCGCUCCGCUCCAACCACGAACGGCUGUGACGGCAAGGGCUCUGGGCGGGAGCGUUCAAACCGUUUGUCCCCAGCUCGUCUGGGUGGCGGCGGUGCUCCGUCUGACCCAUACGGCUCCAGCGGCUAGCGGCUAACUCAGAACUGUCAUGGACCAAGGGAAUCCGACUGUCUAAUUAAAACAAAGCGUCGUGACGGCCCCUGUUGGGUGUUGACGCGACGUGAUUUCUGCCCAGUGCUCUG